UGGGAAAAACUUUUUUUUUUUUUUGAAUUGAUGAAAGUAGCAUUUAGGAAACUAAUAAAAGCAAAGAAGAAGAAAAGGAAGAUAACAAAACAUUAAAGCUCAUAUUUUGUUUGCUAAAAAGCAAAUAUUUUGUUUGCUAAAAAGCAAAUUCAACAGAAGCUCCAAACUACAGCAAAAAAACACACUAGAAGGAGGACAACCAGAGAGAACUAAAGCACCCACAACUAUUAACAGCAUUUUCUUAUAAAACUUGUCAAAUACACAUAUGUUCAAUCGCUAGAAGGAGGAGGAGGAGUAGGAGGAGGAGAGAGGCGCUCCCCUAGCUGUCGGUGAAUGGGAGACGAGGAAGGGGCAUAUUG
Molecule: unclassified non-coding RNA, 359 nt
Filed under: Hevea brasiliensis (rubber tree)
Lineage: Eukaryota; Viridiplantae; Streptophyta; Magnoliopsida; Malpighiales; Euphorbiaceae
Source: RNAcentral